AUCAUGCCCCUUAUGAUUUGGGCUACACACGUGCUACAAUGGACAAUACAAAGGGCAGCGAAACCGCGAGGUCAAGCAAAUCCCAUAAAGUUGUUCUCAGUUCGGAUUGUAGUCUGCAACUCGACUACAUGAAGCUGGAAUCGCUAGUAAUCGUAGAUCAGCAUGCUACGGUGAAUACGUUCCCGGGUCUUGUACACACCGCCCGUCACACCACGAGAGUUUGUAACACCCGAAGCCGGUGGAGUAACCUUUUAGGAGCUAGCCGUCGAAGGUGGGACAAAUGAUUGGGGUGAAGUCGUAACAAGGUAGCCGUAUCGGAAGGUGCGGCUGGAUCACCUCCUUUCU
Molecule: ribosomal RNA, 345 nt
Filed under: Staphylococcus aureus
Lineage: Bacteria; Bacillati; Bacillota; Bacilli; Caryophanales; Staphylococcaceae
Description: bacterial SSU rRNA
Rfam family: Bacterial small subunit ribosomal RNA
Source: RNAcentral